Molecule: ribosomal RNA, 499 nt
Filed under: uncultured bacterium
Lineage: Bacteria
Description: partial 16S ribosomal RNA
Rfam family: Bacterial small subunit ribosomal RNA
Source: RNAcentral
GACGAACGCUGGCGGCGUGCCUAAUACAUGCAAGUCGAGCGAAGUUUUUCUGGUGCUUGCACCGGAAAAACUUAGCGGCGAACGGGUGAGUAACACGUAAAGAACCUGCCUCAUAGACUGGGACAACUAUUGGAAACGAUAGCUAAUACCGGAUAAUAGCAUUAACUGCAUGGUUGAUGUUUAAAAGUUGGUUUUGCUAACACUAUGAGAUGGCUUUGCGGUGCAUUAGCUAGUUGGUGGGGUAAAGGCCUACCAAGGCGACGAUGCAUAGCCGACCUGAGAGGGUGAUCGGCCACACUGGGACUGAGACACGGCCCAGACUCCUACGGGAGGCAGCAGUAGGGAAUCUUCCGCAAUGGGCGAAAGCCUGACGGAGCAACGCCGCGUGAGAGAAGAAGGAUUUCGGUUCGUAAAGCUCUGUUGUUAGGGAAGAAUGAUUGUGUAGUAACUAUACACAGUAGAGACGGUACCUAACCAGAAAGCCACGGCUAACUACGUG